This is a long non-coding RNA of Anarrhichthys ocellatus (wolf-eel), 309 nucleotides long. RefSeq lists it as uncharacterized. NCBI's taxonomy places the organism in Eukaryota, Metazoa, Chordata, Actinopteri, Perciformes, Anarhichadidae. The record is from RefSeq and is a predicted model, not a curated record. The transcript has 2 exons.
UGUGUGUGUGUGUGUGUGUGUGUGUGUGUGUGUGUUUUCUCUCGUUCCUGCUCAGGUCGUGUGUGUACAAGAACGACCAGGCAGUGAAAGAAAACCCAAGCAAGGCUCUGCAGGAGGAGGAACCGUGUCCACGCUUUGCACACCAGCUGGUCUACGAUGAGAUGCACAAGGUGCAUUACUUGUUUGGUGGAAACCCCGGGAAGUCUUGUUCUCCCAAGAUGCGCCUGGACGACUUCUGGUCCCUCAAACUGUGUCGGCCCUCAAAGGAGUACCUGCUGCGCCACUGCAGAUACCUCAUCAGGAAAUACA